Molecule: ribosomal RNA, 398 nt
Filed under: uncultured bacterium
Lineage: Bacteria
Description: partial 16S ribosomal RNA
Rfam family: Bacterial small subunit ribosomal RNA
Source: RNAcentral
AUACGUAGGGUGCGAGCGUUGUCCGGAAUUACUGGGCGUAAAGAGCUCGUAGGUGGUUUGUCGCGUCGUCUGUGAAAUUCCGGGGCUUAACUCCGGGCGUGCAGGCGAUACGGGCAUAACUUGAGUACUGUAGGGGAGACUGGAAUUCCUGGUGUAGCGGUGAAAUGCGCAGAUAUCAGGAGGAACACCGGUGGCGAAGGCGGGUCUCUGGGCAGUAACUGACGCUGAGGCGCGAAAGCAUGGGUAGCGAACAGGAUUAGAUACCCUGGUAGUCCAUGCCGUAAACGGUGGGCGCUAGGUGUAGGGGUCUUCCACGACUUCUGUGCCGUAGCUAACGCAUUAAGCGCCCCGCCUGGGGAGUACGGCCGCAAGGCUAAAACUCAAAUGAAUUGACGGGG